CAGCGAAACGGCCCGCCUUGCGCGGGCCGUCGUCGGGGAGCGGCGUCCCCGGCCUGAUGAGCAAAGCCGG
Molecule: non-coding RNA, 70 nt
Filed under: Desulfovibrio sp.
Lineage: Bacteria; Pseudomonadati; Thermodesulfobacteriota; Desulfovibrionia; Desulfovibrionales; Desulfovibrionaceae
Source: RNAcentral